AUACGUAGGGUGCAAGCGUUAAUCGGAAUUACUGGGCGUAAAGCGUGCGCAGGCGGUUUUGUAAGACAGUGGUGAAAUCCCCGGGCUCAACCUGGGAACUGCCAUUGUGACUGCAAGGCUGGAGUGAGGCAGAGGGGGAUGGAAUUCCGCGUGGAGCAGUGAAAUGCGUAGAUAUGCGGAGGAACACCGAUGGCGAAGGCAAUCCCCUGGGCCUGCACUGACGCUCAUGCACGAAAGCGUGGGGAGCAAACAGGAUUAGAUACCCUGGUAGUCCACGCCCUAAACGAUGUCAACUGGUUGUUGGGGAUUUAUUUUCUCAGUAACGAAGCUAACGCGUGAAGUUGACCGCCUGGGGAGUACGGCCGCAAGGUUAAAACUCAAAGGAAUUGACGGG
RNAcentral lists this ribosomal RNA (394 nucleotides) under uncultured bacterium. RNAcentral's name for it is "partial 16S ribosomal RNA". It matches the Rfam family "Bacterial small subunit ribosomal RNA", at positions 523 to 917 of the family's 1533-position model. The record is from RNAcentral.